GACGAACGCUGGCGGCGUGCUUAACACAUGCAAGUCGAACGAUGAAGGAGAGCUUGCUCUCCGGAUUAGUGGCGAACGGGUGAGUAACACGUGACUAACCUGCCCCUUUCUCUGGGAUAACGCUCCGAAAGGAGUGCUAAUACCGGAUACGAACUCUGAACACAUGUUCGGAGUUGGAAAGUUUUUCGGAAAGGGAUGGAGUCGCGGCCUAUCAGCUUGUUGGUGAGGUAACGGCUCACCAAGGCGACGACGGGUAGCCGGCCUGAGAGGGCGACCGGCCACACUGGGACUGAGACACGGCCCAGACUCCUACGGGAGGCAGCAGUGGGGAAUAUUGCACAAUGGGCGAAAGCCUGAUGCAGCGACGCCGCGUGAGGGAUGAAGGUCUUCGGAUUGUAAACCUCUUUCAGUAGGGACGAAGCGAAAGUGACGGUACCUAAAGAAGAAGCACCGGCUAACUACGUGCCAGCCGCCGCGGUAA
Molecule: ribosomal RNA, 481 nt
Filed under: uncultured bacterium
Lineage: Bacteria
Description: partial 16S ribosomal RNA
Rfam family: Bacterial small subunit ribosomal RNA
Source: RNAcentral